RNAcentral lists this ribosomal RNA (154 nucleotides) under uncultured bacterium. RNAcentral's name for it is "partial 16S ribosomal RNA". It matches the Rfam family "Bacterial small subunit ribosomal RNA", at positions 29 to 181 of the family's 1533-position model. The record is from RNAcentral.
AGCGAACGUUAGCGGCGGGCCUAACACAUGCAAGUCGAGCGAGAAAGUGGCUUCGGCCAUCAGUAAAGCGGCGGACGGGUGAGUAACACGUAGGUAAUCUUCCCUUGAGAGGGGGACAACGUUUCGAAAGGAACGCUAAUACCGCAUACGUUCC